Long non-coding RNA from Ipomoea triloba (trilobed morning glory), 1855 nucleotides. RefSeq lists it as uncharacterized. NCBI's taxonomy places the organism in Eukaryota, Viridiplantae, Streptophyta, Magnoliopsida, Solanales, Convolvulaceae. The transcript has 3 exons. The record is from RefSeq and is a predicted model, not a curated record.
UAUUAUGCCCUAAAAAAAAAAACUUUAUUUGGCACAACAAAAAAAAUAGAACACACCAAAAUAUUUCUUCACACCAAUUUUAUUUGGCACAGCGCAGCCAACCCAAACCCUAGCUUAGCUCUUCACAACCAAACACCAUUGGCGAGAUCUGUGGCGGUGACGGGCUUUGGUAGCAGCGAUUACGAGCUGGGAGGGCAGAGCAGCUACUACGACAGCGUGAACCUUGGUGACCGGAGUGAGUAGCUUCGACUUGUGUCAGCUUGAGCAGCGGUGCGGCGGUGAUGACGGAGUGCGAAGAAGAACGGCGGCGGCGAUGUCUCCAGCUGACGGCGAAGAAAAAGGAAGCCGGCGACGUCUCCAACUGACGGCGAAGAAGAAGGUCCGGCGGCUUCAUCUCCAGCUGAGGGCGAAGAAGAAAGGCGACAUUUGGCGGCGACUUUUCUUGCGUGCUGAGUUGAGGCUUUUAGAUCUGGUGUAGUGGUGUUGUUGGCUUAUGUACUUGCAGCUCCACUGAUACAGAAGCUAGAACUAUGAAAAUAAGGGUCAAUGCCUUGAUCAUUUUGUGCCCAAGUAUGACACUCUCUAUUGCAACACUUUUAUAUCUGAUUAGAUUUGGAUUUUGUGUUUACUUAAUUGAUUAUCUGCAUUUUCUUGCUGAUGAUGUUUUUGAGAUCUGGAUUAAAAACAUCUCUCAUUGUUGAUGAUGGUUAUGAGAUAAAUAUGCAGGUAUUAUUACUUUUUUCACAAUUAAUUUGUGUCCUUUGAUUUAUUAGUUUUUAUGUAGAAGGAUUCUAGGUUUUGUAAGCCUGUAUUUUGUUUACUACUUGGUCAUUUAGCUGUUAAAUUCUAGACACCAUUGCAUCUCAUUUAGGUGUUAAAAUUUCCAGCUAUGUAUCUCUCUCGAAAUGCAAAAGUAUCUCAUCUUUAUUCUGUGUUGAUUAAGGUAUAUGUUUACUGAUGCCUCUGCAUAUUUGCUGAUGCUAUUACUCAUCAGGCUCUUGUUUUAUAGAACUUUGAAUAUCUAAAACUCCUUACCUGAUAUUCUGCUGUCACAAUAUGGUGCUAUGCUGUUCUUUGUAUUACUUGCCUGGCCUGCAGUUUAUGUAAAAUCAAUUCAAUCAUUUGAUUUACCAAAUAUGUAUCUGUGUAGGUCCAUUAACAUUCUAUACAAAAUGUGUAUCCUGCAGACUAUUUCAGCACGUGUUUGUGAUCCUAGUUCUUCCAAUCUCAUUGGUAUUCCUCUCAUCUAAACAAAAGAGUAGCUAAUUGAAGAAUUUACACCAAGGAAAGAAGAUAAAAAAAUUCUACAUCCUUAGAGUCAUUUCUUAUAAGUUGAUUAUUUUAGCAAGUAAGAUACUUAGUUCUGUACCAUAGAACCUUUUUAUUUCAUACUUUCAGUACAAUGCCUACUUUAUUUUAUUUUUUCAUUUAUUUCUUUCAGAUUAGUAAUGAGAUGAUAAGCUUGGAUGGUCUACUUGAUGCUUUAGUUGAUCUUUGCUGGAUUAAAAAUACCAUUAACAGUUUGAAGAAUGGAUUAUGAUUCUACAGCUUUUGCUUCAAUUUCUGUAUCCAAUUUUAAAUACAGUUCAUCUCAUAAGCACUGGUGGAGAAAGUGAGAAACACUUCAAGUUUGCUAACAGAAAUCGCAAGUAAAUAUCUAAAUAUGCUUCUUCAUCUCUAAAUUGUUAUAGUAGGUAGUACAAUAGACUAUGGUGUUAAGAAGCUUUGUGAGAACAACAAUGUUGGGAAUUUUAAGUAUUGUGGAUAUUGUGUAGUAUUUUGAAUAUUAUUAUAUUAUUGAUGGAUGGUUAUUGACGAUUAUUAGUUAAUUUAAUUAUAAUAUAUUAUUAUUGAA